GACGAACGCUGGCGGCGUGCUUAACACAUGCAAGUCGAACGGAAAGGCCCUGCUUUUGUGGGGUGCUCGAGUGGCGAACGGGUGAGUAACAAGGGAGUAACCUGCCCUUGACUUUGGGAUAACUUCAGGAAACUGGGGCUAAUACCGGAUAGGAGCUCCUGCUGCAUGGUGGGGGUUGGAAAGUUUCGGCGGUUGGGGAUGGACUCGCGGCUUAUCAGCUUGUUGGUGGGGUAGUGGCUUACCAAGGCUUUGACGGGUAGCCGGCCUGAGAGGGUGACCGGCCACAUUGGGACUGAGGUACGGCCCAGACUCCUACGGGAGGCAGCAGUGGGGAAUAUUGCACAAUGGGCGGAAGCCUGAUGCAGCAACGCCGCGUGCGGGAUGACGGCCUUCGGGUUGUAAACCGCUUUCGCCUGUGACGAAGCGUGAGUGACGGUAAUGGGUAAAGAAGCACCGGCUAACUACGUG
RNAcentral lists this ribosomal RNA (468 nucleotides) under uncultured bacterium. Its description in RNAcentral is "partial 16S ribosomal RNA". It matches the Rfam family "Bacterial small subunit ribosomal RNA", at positions 28 to 507 of the family's 1533-position model. The record is from RNAcentral.